AACUAUGUGCCAGCAGCUGCGGUAAUACAUAGGUCGCGAGCGUUAUUCGGAUUUAUUGGGCGUAAAGCAAGCGCAGGCGGAUUGAUAAGUUCUGUGUUAAAAGCAGCUGCUCAACAGUUGUUUGCACCGAAUACUGUCAGUCUAGAAUGUGGUAGGGAGUUUCGGAAUUAAAUAUGGAGCGGUGGAAUGUGUAGAUAUAUUUAAGAACACCAGAAGCGAAGGCGGAAACUCAGGCCAUUAUUGACGCUUAGGCUUGAAAGUGUGGGGAGCAAAUGGGAUUAGAUACCCCAGUAGUCCACACCGUAAACGAUGGGUAUUAGAUGUCGGGAUUUAAGUUUCGGCGUUGUAGCUUACGUGUUAAAUACCCCGCCUGGGUAGUACAUAUGCAAAUAUGAAACUCAAAGGAAUUGACGGGGACCUGAACAAGUGGUGGAACAUGUUGCUUAAUUCGAUAAUACACGAAAAACCUUACCAAGGUUUGACAUCCCCCGCAAAACCAUGGAAACAUGGCGGAGGUUAUCGGGGUGACAGGUGGUGCAUGGUUGUCGUCAGCUCGUGUCAUGAGAUGUUUGGUUAAGUCCCGCAACGAGCGCAACCCUACUCCUUAGUUACCUUUUCUAAGGAGACUGAACAGUAAUGUAUAGGAAGGUUGGGAUCACGUCAAAUCAUCAUGCCCCUUAUGCCUUGGGCUGCAAACGUGUUACAAUGGCGAGUACAAUGUGUCGCAAGCUAGCGAUAGCAAGCCAAUCACCUAAAACUCGUCUCAGUUCGGAUAGGAGGCUGCAAUUCGCCUCCUUGAAGUUGGAAUCACUAGUAAUCCCGUGUCAGCUAUAUCGGGGUGAAUACGUUCCCAGGUCUUGUACAC
This 865-nucleotide ribosomal RNA is filed under the name uncultured Mycoplasma sp. RNAcentral describes it as "bacterial SSU rRNA". It matches the Rfam family "Bacterial small subunit ribosomal RNA", at positions 499 to 1388 of the family's 1533-position model. The record is from RNAcentral. Lineage: Bacteria; Bacillati; Mycoplasmatota; Mollicutes; Mycoplasmatales; Mycoplasmataceae.